This 419-nucleotide ribosomal RNA is filed under the name Pseudomonas aeruginosa. RNAcentral's name for it is "partial 23S ribosomal RNA". It matches the Rfam family "Bacterial large subunit ribosomal RNA", at positions 2526 to 2925 of the family's 2925-position model. Lineage: Bacteria; Pseudomonadati; Pseudomonadota; Gammaproteobacteria; Pseudomonadales; Pseudomonadaceae. The record is from RNAcentral.
UCGAUGUCGGCUCAUCACAUCCUGGGGCUGAAGCCGGUCCCAAGGGUAUGGCUGUUCGCCAUUUAAAGUGGUACGCGAGCUGGGUUUAGAACGUCGUGAGACAGUUCGGUCCCUAUCUGCCGUGGACGUUUGAGAUUUGAGAGGGGCUGCUCCUAGUACGAGAGGACCGGAGUGGACGAACCUCUGGUGUUCCGGUUGUCACGCCAGUGGCAUUGCCGGGUAGCUAUGUUCGGAAAAGAUAACCGCUGAAAGCAUCUAAGCGGGAAACUUGCCUCAAGAUGAGAUCUCACUGGGAACUUGAUUCCCCUGAAGGGCCGUCGAAGACUACGACGUUGAUAGGCUGGGUGUGUAAGCGUUGUGAGGCGUUGAGCUAACCAGUACUAAUUGCCCGUGAGGCUUGACCAUAUAACACCCAAACA